Molecule: ribosomal RNA, 541 nt
Filed under: uncultured bacterium
Lineage: Bacteria
Description: partial 16S ribosomal RNA
Rfam family: Bacterial small subunit ribosomal RNA
Source: RNAcentral
UGGGGAAUUUUGGACAAUGGGGGAAACCCUGAUCCAGCCAUCCCGCGUGUGCGAUGAAGGCCUUCGGGUUGUAAAGCACUUUUGGCAGGAAAGAAACGUCGCGGGUUAAUACCCCGCGAAACUGACGGUACCUGCAGAAUAAGCACCGGCUAACUACGUGCCAGCAGCCGCGGUAAUACGUAGGGUGCAAGCGUUAAUCGGAAUUACUGGGCGUAAAGCGUGCGCAGGCGGUUCGGAAAGAAAGAUGUGAAAUCCCAGAGCUUAACUUUGGAACUGCAUUUUUAACUACCGGGCUAGAGUGUGUCAGAGGGAGGUGGAAUUCCGCGUGUAGCAGUGAAAUGCGUAGAUAUGCGGAGGAACACCGAUGGCGAAGGCAGCCUCCUGGGAUAACACUGACGCUCAUGCACGAAAGCGUGGGGAGCAAACAGGAUUAGAUACCCUGGUAGUCCACGCCCUAAAACGAUGUCAACUAGCUGUUGGGGGCCUUCGGGCCUUGGUAGCGCAGCUAACGCGUGAAGUUGACCGCCUGGGGAGUACGGUC